CGUGCUGCAGGGCUGGGGGCUGGGCAGGGGGUCUCUGCCAGGGCCCCGGGUCCCACAGAUCAGACACCAGGUGCCAACCCCUCCCAGCUCUGCUGUCAAAGAUGGAGCAAGUGCAGAUUGUGGGGGGUGAAAGGGGGAGAUGUGGGCUUAUUGGUCCUAGCCAGGAAAGGGACAGAGGGAUACUAGGCCGGAUGGAUCUGUGGGUUGGAUCUGGGGGAGCAAAGGGAGGGUCCCAGGCUGGAGGGGCACAAGUCUGACCGCCCUCCCCCACCAGCUGGCGAAGCAGGUCGAGAUCUCCCCGGAGCUGACGAAGGCGGAGCUCCGACAGGACCUUACGGCGCAUGAAAAUCCCACUCCAAUCCGGGAGUAUGGUGAAGAGACUGUGCGGGAGCAAAGCUACGUGACACGGGAGGAGGAGUGGAGAGCCUGGCCUCCAGGGGCAGGGGAGGACCCAAGAUACAGGCCACCAGGGCCCAAUGAAAUGCGUCCCAGAAUCCUCAAGGUGCUGACUGAGGAGAUAUCGGAGCCACUGGCGAUUAUCUUUGAGAAGUCACGGAAGACGGGAGAGAUUCCAGAAGACUGGAAAAGGGCAAAGCUAGUGCCCAUCUAUAAAAAGGGGAAUAAGGACAACCCGGGGAAUUACAGACCAGUCAGCUUCACUUCUGAACCCGGAAAGAUAAUGGAGCAAAUCGUUAAGCAAUCAAUUUGCAGACACCUGGAAGAUAAUGAGGUGAUAAGUAACAGUCAGCCUGGAUUUGUCAAGAACAAAUGGUGUCAAACCAACCUGAUAGUUUUCUGUGACAGGGUAACAAGUCUUGUGGAUAGGGGGAAGCGGUAGACGUGGUAUAUCUGGACCUUAGUAAGGCUUUUGAUACUGUCCCCCUGACCUUCUGCUAAACAAACUAGGAAAAAGCAACCUAGAUGGAGCUCCUGUAAGGAGGGUGAAAAACUGGUUGGAAAACGGUUCCCCGAAAGUUGUUAUCAGUGGUUCACAGUCAUGCUGGAAGGGCAUAACGAGUGGGGUCCUGCAGGGAUCGGUUCUGGGUCUGGUUCUGUUCAAUAUCUUCAUCAGUGAUUUAGAUAAUGACAUAGAGAGCACACUGAUAAAGUCUGCGGACGAUACCAAGCUGGGAGGGGUUGCAAGUGCUUUGGAGGGUAGGAUUAAAAUUCAAAAUGAUCUGGACAAACUGGAGAAAUGGUCAGAAGUAGAUAGGAUGAAAUUCAAUAAGGACAAAUGCAAAGUACAACACUUCGGAAGGAAUAAUCAGUCGCACACACACAAUGGGAAAUGACCGCCGAGGAAGGAGCACCGCGGAAAGGGAUCUGGGGGUCAGAGUGGGUCACAAGCUAAAUAUGAGUCAACAGUGUGACUCUGUUGCAAAAAAAGCGAACCUCCUUCUGGGCUGGAUUAGCAGGAGUGUUGUAAGCAAGACACGAGAAGUGACUCUUCCGCUCUACCCCGCGCUGGUUAGGCCUGAACUGGAGGUUUGUGUUCAGUUCUGGUGCCACAUUUCAGGAAGGAUGUGGACAAAUUGGAGAAAGUCCAGAGAAGAGCAACAAAAAUGAUGAGAAGUCUAGAAAACAGGAGCUAUGAGGGGAGAUUGGAAAACUGGGGUUUGUUUAGUCUGGAGAAGAGAAGACAGAGGGGACAUGAUGACAGUUUUCAAGUCCAUAAAAGUUUGUUACAAGGAGGAGGGAGAAGAAUCGUUCUUCUUAACCUCUGAGUUCAGGACAAGAAGCGAUGGGCUUAAAUUACAGCAAGGGCGGUUUAGGUUGGACAUUAGGAAAAACUUCCUACCUGUCCGGGUGGUCAAGCCCUGGGAUAAAUUGCCCAGGGAGGUUGUGGAAUCUCUGUCACUGGAGAUUUUGAAGAGCAGGUUAGACAAACACCUGUCAGGGAUGGUCUAGAUCAGUGCUUCUCAAGCUAUCUGAUGUGGGGGACUGGCAGUGUUUUUCCCAAUGUGCGCGCAGACCGGCAGCCGACGGCUCGCGGACCGGUGCCGGUCCGCAGACCACCACUUUGAGUAGCGCUGAUUUAGAUAAUACUUAGUCCUGCCAUGAGUGCAGGGGACUGGACGAGAUGACCUCUCGAGGUCCCUUCCAGUCCUAUGAUUCUAUGAUGCAGCUGUCUCUGGGGCAGGGUGGUUGGGGAACAGCUGCACAUAACGCUGCAUGGGGACAGCUCCCUUAAACUGCAGGUCCCCAAAUUGGGGUUCAGCCCAAACACCUGGGUUCACACCCUGGCUGUUGGAGUUCAGUGCUGGAGUGGGGCUCUGGUUCGCCCCGCUUCCUAUCAGCUGGGCAGUGCUCCCCACAAGGCCCCAUGGGGGGAGCUGAGCAGGGGUCACUCCUUGGGGUGCUUUCUGUCUGUAUCUCGUCUGGUGUCGUUCUGUCCAGCUGCCAUGUUUUCCUUCCCCUCCUUCAUGGUUUUGACGCCCUGGGGUUUGGCCCAGAUGCCUGGGUUCACUCUUUCAAUCUCUCGCCCACUUCCUUCCGUUUUUACUGCAUUCUCCCUGUUUUU
Caretta caretta (loggerhead turtle) is the source of this 2521-nucleotide long non-coding RNA. RefSeq lists it as uncharacterized. NCBI's taxonomy places the organism in Eukaryota, Metazoa, Chordata, Testudines, Cheloniidae. The record is from RefSeq and is a predicted model, not a curated record.